This 373-nucleotide ribosomal RNA is filed under the name Nematoda sp. RNAcentral's name for it is "SSU rRNA". It matches the Rfam family "Eukaryotic small subunit ribosomal RNA", at positions 252 to 625 of the family's 1831-position model. The record is from RNAcentral. Lineage: Eukaryota; Metazoa; Nematoda.
CUGAAUAACUUUGCUGAUCACACAGUCUAGCACUGGUGAUAUAUCUUUCAAGUGUCUGGCCUAUCAACUUUCGAUGGUAGUUUAUGUGCCUACCAAGGUGGUAACGGGUAACGGAGAAUAAGGGUUCGACUCCGGAGAGGGAGCCUGAGAAAUGGCUACCACAUCUAAGGAAGGCAGCAGGCGCGCAAAUUACCCACUCUCAACAUGAGGAGGUAGUGACGAAAAAUAACGAGAUGGUUCUCUAUGAGGCCCAUCAUCGGAAUGGGUACAAUUUAAACCCUUUAAUGAGGAUCUAUUGGAGGGCAAGUCUGGUGCCAGCAGCCGCGGUAAUUCCAGCUCCAAUAGCAUAUGCCAAUGUUGCUGCUGUUAAAAA